This is a long non-coding RNA of Papaver somniferum (opium poppy), 357 nucleotides long. RefSeq lists it as uncharacterized. The record is from RefSeq and is a predicted model, not a curated record. NCBI's taxonomy places the organism in Eukaryota, Viridiplantae, Streptophyta, Magnoliopsida, Ranunculales, Papaveraceae. The transcript is spliced from 3 exons.
GUGGCAGUGGACUAGAAAAACUAGACCUGGAAAUCAAAUACUUUAGCAUUUUCUACCAUUAGUAAGAGUACUGAAUGAAAUCUACUGAUUAGCUUGUUUUCUGAAGAAUUCGAAAGACAGUCCCUUAGUCAAUGAAUCAACUCAAGAAAUAACUGCUUGAUAAGGCCUGACAGAUGUAAUGACAUUGUGACCACCGGAGAAAACUUCACUCGAAAAAGUGCUGUUACUGCGGUCGAAUCAUCUUCUUCAAAUAAACCUUCAAGAGAUCAUUUGGGACAUCUUUAUUGAAUCAUACUUGAGAUAAGAAUAAUGUGGACAUCUUUGAAGUCAACAAAUCCCAUGUCAAUCAAUGAAAAU